This is a long non-coding RNA of Topomyia yanbarensis, 807 nucleotides long. RefSeq lists it as uncharacterized. The transcript has 3 exons. NCBI's taxonomy places the organism in Eukaryota, Metazoa, Arthropoda, Insecta, Diptera, Culicidae. The record is from RefSeq and is a predicted model, not a curated record.
UACUUAGCUUUAAGCUAAGUAUGCACCUCUUGCGAAAUGAAAUUUCCUAUACAAAACCUAUGCAUAAAAAACGUCGCGAAAUGUUCGCGAAAAAUUUUUUCGUUUCCAUUUCGUAAGCGGUACGCAGCUCUCGCGAAAACGAUAACGAAAAAUGUAGUUAGCUGAGACACGGUUCGACAAACGAUAAGUUUCAUAAUACUUCCGCGAGACAGCGCUGCUUUCUAUUCGCUGUCACCAAGGCAAACUUUUUCCUUGCGAAAUAAUGGUCAGCGGUAUUAUUUCGCACGGAGGCUCGCGAAAUUUUGACAGGUUGCAAUGAAAAAAUAUAAGAAAACACAAGAUUGGUAAUUUUUUGUAUUUUUUUCAUCGCAACCUGUCAAAAUUUCGUUGUUUAGAAAUUCAAUAUUUCGAAUUUGAAUGAUCGAACACCAACAACAUAAUAUGGUAAUCACCCAGCAAGAGAACGCAGUGAUAAUGGGCCAACAGAAACCACAACAUCAAGAUGCUCGGAAAGGACUUUCUCUUUCGAACAAACAAUGGCACGUCAUGUUCAAUCGGCUAACCGUUUGGAAUAAGCGCUUAUCAUCGGUUUCAUGGCAGGGAAGUGAGCAGGUAAAAGAAGGCAUCGUUUUUUCCGCAAGGUCGCUCUGGUCAAAAUUUCAGCGGAUUGCAAGGAAUAAACCACCCGAGGGACAGUACCCGUGCUGAUUCAGGACGAUUACCCAUACUUUGUACCUUGCUAUUGAAUUUUAAUACCCGAUCGAAACGAUGGCAAGCGCUGCCGAUAACUGGGUCAAAAAGACAACG